CACGUAGGGCGCGAGCGUUGUCCGGAAUUAUUGGGCGUAAAGAGCUCGUAGGCGGCCUGUUGCGUCCGCUGUGAAAGCCCGGGGCUUAACCCCGGGUCGGCAGUGGAUACGGGCAGGCUAGAGGUAGGUAGGGGAGAAUGGAAUUCCCGGUGUAGCGGUGAAAUGCGCAGAUAUCGGGAGGAACACCGGUGGCGAAGGCGGUUCUCUGGGCCUUACCUGACGCUGAAGCGCGAAAGCGUGGGGAGCAAACAGG
This 253-nucleotide ribosomal RNA is filed under the name uncultured bacterium. RNAcentral describes it as "partial 16S ribosomal RNA". It matches the Rfam family "Bacterial small subunit ribosomal RNA", at positions 524 to 776 of the family's 1533-position model. The record is from RNAcentral.